AGCAGCCGCGGUAAUUCCAGCUCCAAUAGCGUAUAUUAAAGUUGUUGCAGUUAAAAAGCUCGUAGUUGAAUUUCGGGAUCAAUAUAUCGGUCGUGCCUCUGGUACGUACUGGUAUCAUUGAUUUCUCCCUUCUGACGAACCAUGAUUUCAUUUAUUUGGUGUCAUGGGGAGUUAGGACUGUUACUUUGAAAAAAUUAGAGUGUUUAAAGCAGGCUAACGCUUGAAUACAUUAGCAUGGAAUAAUAAAAUAGGACGUUUGAUCCUAUUUUGUUGGUUUCUAGGGUUGACGUAAUGAUUAAUAGGGAUAGUUGGGGGCAUUAGUAUUCAAUUGUCAGAGGUGAAAUUCUUGGAUUUAUUGAAGACUAACUACUGCGAAAGCAUUUGCCAAGGAUGUUUUCAUUAAUCAAGAACGAAAGUUAGGGGAUCGAAGACGAUCAGAUACCGUCGUAGUCUUAACCAUAAACUAUGCYGACUAGGGAUCGGAUGAUGUUAAUUUUAUAAUGACUCA
Molecule: ribosomal RNA, 508 nt
Filed under: uncultured Glomus
Lineage: Eukaryota; Fungi; Glomeromycota; Glomeromycetes; Glomerales; Glomeraceae
Description: SSU rRNA
Rfam family: Eukaryotic small subunit ribosomal RNA
Source: RNAcentral